Molecule: ribosomal RNA, 392 nt
Filed under: uncultured bacterium
Lineage: Bacteria
Description: bacterial SSU rRNA
Rfam family: Bacterial small subunit ribosomal RNA
Source: RNAcentral
GUUGAACGCUGGCGGCAGGCCUAACACAUGCAAGUCGAACGGUAACAGGAAGAAGCUUGCUUCUUUGCUGACGAGUGGCGGACGGGUGAGUAAUGUCUGGGAAACUGCCUGAUGGAGGGGGAUAACUACUGGAAACGGUAGCUAAUACCGCAUAACGUCGCAAGACCCAAAAAGGGGGACCUUCGGGCCUCUUGCCAUCGGAUGUGCCCAGAUGGGAUUAGCUAGUAGGUGGGUAACGGCUCACCUAGGCGACGAUCCCUAGCUGGUCUGAGAGGAUGACCAGCCACACUGGAACUGAGACACGGUCCAGACUCCUACGGGAGGCAGCAGUGGGGAAUAUUGCACAAUGGGCGCAAGCCUGAUGCAGCCAUGCCGCGUGUAUGAAGAAGGCC